GACGAACGCUGGCGGCGUGCUUAACACAUGCAAGUCGAACGGAAAGGCCCUGCUUUUGUGGGGUGCUCGAGUGGCGAACGGGUGAGUAACACGUGAGUAACCUGCCCUUGACUUUGGGAUAACUUCAGGAAACUGGGGCUAAUACCGGAUAGGAGCUCCUGCUGCAUGGUGGGGGUUGAAAGGUUCGGCGGUUGGGGAUGGGCUCUCGGCUUAUCAGGUUGUUGGUGGGGUAGUGGCUUACCAAGGGUUUGACGGGUAGCCGGCCUGAGAGGGUGACCGGCCACAUUGGGACUGAGAUACGGCCCAGACUCCUACGGGAGGCAGCAGUGGGGAAUAUUGCACAAUGGGCGGAAGCCUGAUGCAGCAACGCCGCGUGCGGGAUGACGGCCUUCGGGUUGUAAACCGCUUUCGCCUGUGACGAAGCGUGAGUGACGGUAAUGGGUAAAGAAGCACCGGCUAACUACGUG
This 467-nucleotide ribosomal RNA is filed under the name uncultured bacterium. RNAcentral's name for it is "partial 16S ribosomal RNA". It matches the Rfam family "Bacterial small subunit ribosomal RNA", at positions 28 to 507 of the family's 1533-position model. The record is from RNAcentral.